RNAcentral lists this ribosomal RNA (253 nucleotides) under uncultured bacterium. RNAcentral's name for it is "partial 16S ribosomal RNA". It matches the Rfam family "Bacterial small subunit ribosomal RNA", at positions 524 to 776 of the family's 1533-position model. The record is from RNAcentral.
UACGUAGGAGGCAGGCGUUAUCCGGAAUGACUGGGCGUAAAGGGUGCGUAGGUGGUUUGGCAAGUUAGUAGCGUAACUCCGGAGCUCAACUUCGGAACUACUACUAAAACUGUCGGACUUGAGUGCAGGAGGGGCAACUGGAAUUCCUAGUGUAGCGGUGGAAUGCGUAGAUAUUAGGAGGAACACCAGUGGCGAAGGCGAGUUGCUGGACUGUAACUGACACUGAGGCACGAAAGCGUGGGGAGCAAACAGG